AAUUGCGUUAAAUAGUUAAAUCUUGUAAAAUUUUUGACACUAGUGAGGUGAAUAAAACAUUUUCAGCUGUCAAAACAUUAAUGGCCUCUGGGAGCCGGUUAAUCGAAGUUAAAUUUUUUUUGCACAUGGUUUUGUUAUUUUGUGCAUUGUAUAUCAAUUCAUAUACAGUUUUUCAGGAGUAUCAUGUCAGCAAAAAGGCAGAGAAUAAACAAUAAGCCGUACAAUAUAUGGACCCACGAGGAAAAAAUUCAGCUCAUAAAUUUAAGGACCGAAAACAAUGAAAUGUUUACCAACAAAAAUUCAAUAAUGAGCGCUUGCUGGAAAGCCAUAGCAGAGAAAAUGGAGAGUACCAAGGAUGCCAACCAAUGUAAGCAGCAAUGGAAAAACCUUCUCA
Molecule: long non-coding RNA, 394 nt
Organism: Episyrphus balteatus (marmalade hoverfly)
Lineage: Eukaryota; Metazoa; Arthropoda; Insecta; Diptera; Syrphidae
Exons: 3
Source: RefSeq, a predicted model, not a curated record